CCUGUGCUGCAGGCUCUUCCACACCAGCCAUUCAUUCUCUGCGUCGGUUCCUCGAGGUGGAUAGAUCAAUCUUUAUUUCCCUUGUCCGGGUACAUGAACCUUGCUCACUUUCGAAAUAGAGAUAACUAUUGUGAUAGGCAUUGUCUAUGGCUUUGCAAUCCACGUUGAUUUGAGUUUAACGUAAAAGAAGACCAAAAACUGAAAACUUUUUCCA
RNAcentral lists this long non-coding RNA (214 nucleotides) under Physcomitrium patens. RNAcentral describes it as "long non-coding RNA (PPAT_LNC000472)". The record is from RNAcentral. Lineage: Eukaryota; Viridiplantae; Streptophyta; Bryopsida; Funariales; Funariaceae.